RNAcentral lists this ribosomal RNA (449 nucleotides) under uncultured bacterium. RNAcentral's name for it is "bacterial SSU rRNA". It matches the Rfam family "Bacterial small subunit ribosomal RNA", at positions 10 to 507 of the family's 1533-position model. The record is from RNAcentral.
AGUUUGAUCCUGGCUCAGAACGAACGCUGGCGGCAGGCUUAACACAUGCAAGUCGAGCGCCCCGCAAGGGGAGCGGCAGACGGGUGAGUAACGCGUGGGAACGUACCCUUCGGUUCGGAAUAACUCAGGGAAACUUGGGCUAAUACCGGAUACGUCCGUGAGGAGAAAGAUUUAUCGCCGAAGGAUCGGCCCGCGUUGGAUUAGCUAGUUGGUGGGGUAAUGGCCUACCAAGGCGACGAUCCAUAGCUGGUCUGAGAGGAUGAUCAGCCACACUGGGACUGAGACACGGCCCAGACUCCUACGGGAGGCAGCAGUGGGGAAUAUUGGACAAUGGGCGAAAGCCUGAUCCAGCCAUGCCGCGUGAGUGAUGAAGGCCCUAGGGUUGUAAAGCUCUUUCAGUGGGGAAGAUAAUGACGGUACCCACAGAAGAAGCCCCGGCUAACUUCGUG